CCUACGGGAGGCAGCAGUGAGGAAUAUUGGUCAAUGGACGGAAGUCUGAACCAGCCAUGCCGCGUGCAGGAAGACGGCCCUAUGAGUUGUAAACUGCUUUUGUACAAGGGUAAACCUGUACACGUGUAUUCAGCUGUAAGUACCGUACGAAUAAGGAUCGGCUAACUCCGUGCCAGCAGCCGCGGUAGUACGGAGGAUCCAAGCGUUAUCCGGAUUUAUUGGGUUUAAAGGGUGCGUAGGUGGAUUGUUAAGUUAGUGGUGAAAUGUCCGGGCUUAACCCGGGAACUGCCUUUAAUACUGGUGGUCUAGAGAGUAGAUGCGGUAGGCGGAAUGUGUGGUGUAGCGGUGAAAUGCAUAGAUAUCACGAAGAACUCCGAUUGCGAAGGCAGCAUACCGGCGCCCAACUGACGCUGAGGCACGAAAGCGUGGGUAUCGAACAGGAUUAGAUACCCCUGUAGUC
RNAcentral lists this ribosomal RNA (460 nucleotides) under uncultured bacterium. RNAcentral's name for it is "partial 16S ribosomal RNA". It matches the Rfam family "Bacterial small subunit ribosomal RNA", at positions 338 to 795 of the family's 1533-position model. The record is from RNAcentral.